This is a transfer RNA of Felis catus (domestic cat), 85 nucleotides long. It matches the Rfam family "tRNA". From Rfam's summary of the family: Transfer RNA (tRNA) molecules are approximately 80 nucleotides in length. Their secondary structure includes four short double-helical elements and three loops (D, anti-codon, and T loops). Further hydrogen bonds mediate the characteristic L-shaped molecular structure. tRNAs have two regions of fundamental functional importance: the anti-codon, which is responsible for specific mRNA codon recognition, and the 3' end, to which the tRNAs corresponding amino acid is attached (by aminoacyl-tRNA synthetases). tRNAs cope with the degeneracy of the genetic code in two manners: having more than one tRNA (with a specific anti-codon) for a particular amino acid; and 'wobble' base-pairing, i.e. permitting non-standard base-pairing at the 3rd anti-codon position. NCBI's taxonomy places the organism in Eukaryota, Metazoa, Chordata, Mammalia, Carnivora, Felidae. The record is from Rfam.
GCCUGGGUGGCUCAGUUGGUUAAGCGUCUGACUUUGGCUCAGGUCAUGAUCUCACGGUUCGUGGGUUUGAGCCCCGCGUUGGGCU